Molecule: long non-coding RNA, 249 nt
Filed under: Bos taurus (domestic cattle)
Lineage: Eukaryota; Metazoa; Chordata; Mammalia; Artiodactyla; Bovidae
Description: long non-coding RNA NONBTAT018669
Source: RNAcentral
AUUGUCUUAAAAUUUUUAAGUAAUUUUGAAGAAUAUGAUAAUUGUAAUAAGUUUAAAAUUCCCCAACUGUCUGCUUUUUAAAAAUAAGAAAACUUGCCAUUUAUGCAACAAACAGGUAAAAUACAAUUGAUAUUUCCCAUAGAAAACAGUCAGUUUUAUAUUGACUUAUUGGGUUCACCAGGUGUUAAUCCUACAUUUUCCCCUUAGGGGAAGAAAAUGUCUAUAAUAAUGAAAUAAAUAGUUUCUUUC